This 534-nucleotide ribosomal RNA is filed under the name Bacillus pumilus. Its description in RNAcentral is "bacterial SSU rRNA". It matches the Rfam family "Bacterial small subunit ribosomal RNA", at positions 77 to 596 of the family's 1533-position model. Lineage: Bacteria; Bacillati; Bacillota; Bacilli; Caryophanales; Bacillaceae. The record is from RNAcentral.
AGCUUGCUCCCGGAUGUUAGCGGCGGACGGGUGAGUAACACGUGGGUAACCUGCCUGUAAGACUGGGAUAACUCCGGGAAACCGGAGCUAAUACCGGAUAGUUCCUUGAACCGCAUGGUUCAAGGAUGAAAGACGGUUUCGGCUGUCACUUACAGAUGGACCCGCGGCGCAUUAGCUAGUUGGUGGGGUAAUGGCUCACCAAGGCGACGAUGCGUAGCCGACCUGAGAGGGUGAUCGGCCACACUGGGACUGAGACACGGCCCAGACUCCUACGGGAGGCAGCAGUAGGGAAUCUUCCGCAAUGGACGAAAGUCUGACGGAGCAACGCCGCGUGAGUGAUGAAGGUUUUCGGAUCGUAAAGCUCUGUUGUUAGGGAAGAACAAGUGCGAGAGUAACUGCUCGCACCUUGACGGUACCUAACCAGAAAGCCACGGCUAACUACGUGCCAGCAGCCGCGGUAAUACGUAGGUGGCAAGCGUUGUCCGGAAUUAUUGGGCGUAAAGGGCUCGCAGGCGGUUUCUUAAGUCUGAUGUG